This 229-nucleotide ribosomal RNA is filed under the name uncultured bacterium. RNAcentral describes it as "partial 16S ribosomal RNA". It matches the Rfam family "Bacterial small subunit ribosomal RNA", at positions 568 to 796 of the family's 1533-position model. The record is from RNAcentral.
UGCGCAGGCGGAGCGAUUAGUCAGUGGUGAAAUCCUACGGCUUAACUGUAGAAUUGCCAUUGAUACUGUCGUUCUUGAGUAUAGUUGAAGUGGGCGGAAUGUGUCAUGUAGCGGUGAAAUGCAUAGAGAUGACACAGAACACCAAUCGCGAAGGCAGCUCUCUAAACUAUAACUGACGCUCAGGCACGAAAGCGUGGGUAGCGAACAGGAUUAGAUACCCUGGUAGUCC